RNAcentral lists this ribosomal RNA (439 nucleotides) under uncultured bacterium. Its description in RNAcentral is "partial 16S ribosomal RNA". It matches the Rfam family "Bacterial small subunit ribosomal RNA", at positions 339 to 795 of the family's 1533-position model. The record is from RNAcentral.
CUACGGGGCGCAGCAGUGGGGAAUAUUGCACAAUGGGGGAAACCCUGAUGCAGCAACGCCGCGUGGAGGAUGACACAUUUCGGUGCGUAAACUCCUUUUAUAAGUCAAGAUAAUGACGGUAGCCUAUGAAUAAGCGCCGGCUAACUCCGUGCCAGCAGCCGCGGUAAUACGGAGGGCGCAAGCGUUACUCGGAAUCACUGGGCGUAAAGAGCAUGUAGGCGGGUUAAUAAGUCAGAAGUGAAAUCCAAUAGCUCAACUAUUGAACUGCUUUUGAAACUGUUAACCUAGAGUGUGGGAGAGGUAGAUGGAAUUUCUGGUGUAGGGGUAAAAUCCGUAGAGAUCAGAAGGAAUACCGAUUGCGAAGGCGAUCUACUGGAACAUUACUGACGCUGAGAUGCGAAAGCGUGGGGAGCAAACAGGAUUAGAUACCCUUGUAGUC